This 253-nucleotide ribosomal RNA is filed under the name uncultured bacterium. RNAcentral describes it as "partial 16S ribosomal RNA". It matches the Rfam family "Bacterial small subunit ribosomal RNA", at positions 524 to 776 of the family's 1533-position model. The record is from RNAcentral.
UACGGGGGGGGCAAGCGUUGUUCGGAAUUACUGGGCGUAAAGGGCUCGUAGGCGGCCAACUAAGUCAGACGUGAAAUCCCUCGGCUUAACCGGGGAACUGCAUUCGAUACUGCCGUGCUUGAGGACUGGAGAGGAGACUGGAAUUUACGGUGUAGCGGUGAAAUGCGUAGAUAUCGUAAGGAAGACCAGUGGCGAAGGCGGGUCUCUGGACAGUUCCUGACGCUGAGGCACGAAGGUCAGGGGAGCAAACGGG